AUGUAAUGUAAACAUGUCGCGCUACAGCUGUUUGACAGUUGAGAAGCUGAAGACAGAGUUGCGAUGCAGUGGAGCAACUACACGCGGAGGAAGAUCGAUUUGAUUGAAAGAUUGGAGUCCUACGACAGGAAUAAUAACUUCUACCACUGAGAAGGUGACAUAAAGUUACCAAAGCCUGUAUGAUUUGAAUCAUUGCCAGUCACAGGGUUCCAGCAACUGAUGCCAUCACACAAAGACAGGUUGUCGCCCAUGGCCUCUUCAGAUGUCGAGGCAUAUUUUAGAUACGGGUUAGCUGUAGAUAAUGAAGAGACUGCAGAUUUGAGAAGGGACAUCAACUUUUGAAAUCCAAUCAUGUCCUGGCUUGCAGUGUUGUCAUUGAUCACCAUGCCUACUUCAGUAGUCAGUGCUGCUUUGAAGAA
Haliotis rufescens (red abalone) is the source of this 419-nucleotide long non-coding RNA. RefSeq lists it as uncharacterized. The transcript is spliced from 3 exons. The record is from RefSeq and is a predicted model, not a curated record. Lineage: Eukaryota; Metazoa; Mollusca; Gastropoda; Lepetellida; Haliotidae.